Dama dama (fallow deer) is the source of this 4414-nucleotide long non-coding RNA. RefSeq lists it as uncharacterized. Lineage: Eukaryota; Metazoa; Chordata; Mammalia; Artiodactyla; Cervidae. The record is from RefSeq and is a predicted model, not a curated record. The transcript is spliced from 5 exons.
CCUGGAGAAUCCCUAUGGACAGAGGAGCCUGGCUGGCUAUAGUCCAUAGGGUCGCAGAGUCUGACACAACUGAAGCAGCUUAGCACACAUGCAUCCUUUUUCUUGCAUGGUCUGUGUGGCUGCAUGGUCUUCCUUCUACACAGGCAACAUUUAUUUUGCAUAAUACCAUUCUUUGUUGGACAGUGAAAUUGCUUAUGAUUUUUAGUACUGUAAGAAUAAUAUCAAUUCCAUUCCCAGGUAUGUAGUCAAAAGAAAUGUAAACAUGUCCAUGCAGAAACUUCUAUGUAAAUGUUCAUAAGGGCAUUAUUCAUAAUGACGGAAAAGGGAGACCACACAGACAAUACACACAGCUGCUGAAUGCAUGGUCAAAUGUCUAUACAAUGAAAUGACACUUGGCCGUAAGGAGGUACUGAUAUAUGGUGUAACGCGGAUGACCGUUGUGAACAAUGUGCAGUCUUGUGUGGCUGGCUGCUUUUACUUAGCAUAAUGAUUCUAUUUAUAUGAAAUGUUCAGAAUAGGCAAAUCUAUAGACAAAAGAGUAGAUUGUGCAGCUGCUAAGUGGCUUCAGUCAUGUCCGUCUCAUUGUGACCCUCUGGACCAUGGCUCACCAGGAUCCUCUGUCCAUCCUGUGUCCUCCAGGCACAAAUACUGGAGUGGGCUGCCAUGUCUUCCUCCAGGGUAUCUUCCUGACCCAGGGAUCAAACUCAUGUCUCUUACCUCUCCUGCAUUAGCAGGCGGAUUCUUUGCCACUAGUGCCACCUGGGAAGCCUCAGAAAGUAGAUUAGUGGUUGCUUAAGAUUAAGAAUGCAGAUGUGAUUGGGAAAUGAUGAGUAAAAGUUUUGGGGUUUCUUUUUGAUGAAAAUAUUUUACAGUUGAUUGGGGUGAUAGUUGCAAACUCUUAAGUUACUAAAAGCUAUUGAAUGGUACACAUUAAAUGGGUGAAUUAUCUGAGAUGUGAAUUAUAUAUCAAGAAAGCUGUUACCAAAAAAAUGAAGGGAAAGAACAAAAAGAACAAUUAACAUCUUCGAGUGUAACCUUUUCUGGGUUAUUUGCAUUUUUAUGGCUUUUGAUGAAUACCAGUUUGCCAAAGUGCUUGGCAGAAGAGUUGACUCAAUUAAAAUGUAACCUGGAGUAUUUAAGAGCUCUCACUUCAUUACAUACUUAGCCUUUGUGAAGCUUAGUUUUAAUAAAACUGUCUUAUUGUCUGUGAGAUUGCCGGUGACAGUUUAAAUACUAUAAAUAUAGUUAAAAGUAAUUAAUUGGUAAGUAAGGAACUUGUUCCAGUUGUUCUAACAAAAAAUAUGGACAUUCUUUUUCUUCAUUAUGCAUUCAUAAGAAUUUACAUUUAAUCACCAUCACUUUUUUUAUUAAUAACUAAUAUUUUUAAAAAUGAAUUGCAGUUAUAACAAAUGAAAAGUCUUUGAAAUUCUGUGAGAAAAUAAGGCAUAUAAAGAAAACUUUAAUACUACUGUAUUGAUAGGGAAUUCAUAUUUUUUCAUUUAAAAAAUUUUAGGAAUAUUUUAUCCCAAAUAAUGAACUACCUUUCUGCACAUGGUGUGUGUGUGCUCAGUCGCAUCCAACUCUUUGCGACCCCAUGGACUGUAGCCCACCAGGCUCCUCUGUCCAUGAGAUUUUCCAGGCAAGAAUACUGGAAUGGGUUCCAUUUCCUUCUCUAAGGGAUCUUCCCCACCCAGGAUCAAACUCAAGUCUCCUGCAUUAGCAGGCAGAUUCUUUACCAUUGAGCCACCUGGGAAGCUUCUGCAUGGUAAGUACUAAUAAAUAAAAUAUAUUGAUUACUUGCUAUGUACCAGACAUUGCACUGAGCACUUUUAUUGCAUUCUCUUGUGUUUAUUCCUACAGCACUCCUCUACCAUAGGUAUUUUUGUCAUCCCCAUUUUUCAGAAGAUAAAGAAGUAAAGUGAAAAACAACAACAAUAAUAAAAUAAGAGAUCCUCGGAGGAGCUCCUUGGAAGAAUUAUUUCCUGGGGUGAAGUAUCCUGGCCAGAGCAACACCACUCCAUGUUGUAUUUGCUGAAUUGGAGGUAGACCAGAUGGAAAGGAAGCAAAUGGCCCCAAACUCAUAGUUCCCCAACCAGGGAUUGAACUGGGUUGAACUACCUUCUGCACUGGGAAUUCAGUCUUAAACACUGGACCACCAGGUAGGGAGCCUUCGGGGUCCUCAUUAUUCUAGCCUCAUGCCCUAUUGACCCUCAACGUCCGGCUUCUUUGAUGCUCGUCAAGCUGAGCUUCAGCACGCUGCUUGCAUCGCACAGGAAGCCUGCAGACGUUAGCACAUUCCACAGGAUGCAUGCUUCCUUCCUUAAGUGCUCUGAAAACGGAGGCUGAUAAGUACACCAUUGUCUCCAUGAGGGAUCUCUGCUGAUGGGAACAGAAAUUCCCUCAACUCAGCAUUUUAAGUAGAGGUGGAAAGGCUAUUUAUUGAAGGAUACCUAUACUUUGAAGAAUACAGAGUCCUGCUUCACAGGAAUGAGAAAGUCAUCCAAUAGCUUCUGGGAUCAGAUGGUCUCUCACCUUGGUCUCUCAAGUCCAAAUUUGGGCUGAACAGUUAGUCCUGAGAUGAUGAGAGUUAAACAUCUCGUUAGUCGCAGAAUAUCAUCUGACCAAAUACCAUAACUGGUACCAGGGGAUGAUCCCUCAAAGGAAUUAGGUCAGCUGCUCCCCUGACCAAAUAAUUAAUGCCUAUUGCUUUCAUGCACUCAUGUUCAAGAAUUGGCAGCUGUAGAUGCUUGUGAAUUGGUAUCAGCUUCUGGACAUGUGGUACAUUUAAACCCUGGCUUAUUUCUUAUUUUGGACACUGCUCUUUCAUAUCUCCUUUUGAAAUCUCUCAUGUUUUCCGUCGUGUUCUCUUAAAUUACCCAUAGAUAUCAUUUAUAAACACAUGAGUAUAUAUUACAAAUUUACCCUACAGCGGGAGUAGAUUGAGGUUUCUGUGUGUUUGAAAUCUAUACAGUUUUAGAAGCUCUUUUGAAGCAAAAUAAGAAUAUAAAUGUAUUAUCAAAAUUAGGUAUGAAAUUAAUUCUCCAUUUCAAAUGACGAAAGGAACACAACAGAAAUCUUUUAAAUGAAUGGUGCUUACAUUUCAUUGGGCAUAAAAUGCAGUAUUUUUAUUAAAAUACAGAUUUCUAGACAAGGAUGCCCACUGUCACUACUUUCAUUCAACAUGGUACUGGGAAUCCUAGCCAGAGCAAUGUACAUUGCAACAAUGUUCACAAUAGCCAGGUAUGGAAACAAGAAUCUAAACAACAGAUAAUGGAUAAAGAAAAUGUGAUACACACACACACACACACACACACACACACACACACACAUAGGAACACUAUUCAGCCUUUUUAAAAAAGAAGGAAAUCCUUCCUUUUGUGACAGCAUGAAUGAACCUGAAGGGAAUUAUGCUAAGUGUUACAAGCCAUGUGUGUGCGCGCUCAGUCAUGUCCGACUCUUUGCGACCCCAUGGACUGUAGCCUGCCAGGCUCCUCUGUCCACGGAAUUUCCCAGGCAAGAACACUGGAGUGGGUUGCCAUUUCCUCCUCCAGGGGAUCUUCACAACCCAGGGAUCAAACCUGCAUCCCCUGCAUUGGCAGGUGGGUUCUUUACCACUGGUGCCACCUGGGAGACCCCUGUGAGGUAACAGAUGUGUUAAUUAACUUGAGUGUAGGAAUCUUUUCACAAUUAAAGUAAAAUCAAAUCACAUUAUUCACUUUUAAUAUAUUGCAACUUUAUUUGUCAAUCAUACCUCAAUUAAGUUAGAACCCCCCCCCCCCCCCCCACACACACACACAUAAAAAAGAUGUUGUAAGAGUGCUACUUACCACACUGAGAGAGAAAAAAAAAAGAAGGCAAAUUCCUGGGUUCACUCCUGACCAACUAAAUCAGAAUUUCUGGGGUAAGGUUCUAAACCUACAUGUUAGCACCUGCAUCCUCUGGUAGUCUGAAGGCCACAUUUUGAAAUGAACCAAGUGACUAUUGUAGUGAAUUAAUAAGAUUUUAAUGAUAUAUUUUUGUGUGUGCAUUUACUGGGAAUUUCAGUUAUUCUUACUGUAUGAAAGACUACAAAUUUUGUAUACAAGGUUUAACCGAAAUAUGUCAUUAACUAAUAUUUUAAUUUAGCUAUUUUGUAACCAGAAAAAAUAAAUCAAUGUAAAGAAGGAAAACCAGAAGCUGACAGAGAUAAUGAAUAUCAUAAUAUUUCACAGGAUAUUUACAUUAUUUGAAAGAGAAAAUGCCCCAAGGAUGUCAUUUUUCCAUAUCAUAAAAUAAGAGUAAACAUAUGAAUACUAAAACUUUUAAAAACUGAGACUCAGUUAAAAAAAAUUCCAAUACUGUGAUGAUUGUACUUUAUCACAUAUGUGUUUCACAAAUUUUUAUAUAUAUGUAUAAUACAUGCACACACACAGCA